Molecule: ribosomal RNA, 548 nt
Filed under: Ammonia sp.
Lineage: Eukaryota; Foraminifera; Rotaliida; Rotaliidae
Description: SSU rRNA
Source: RNAcentral
CUACCAAAAGCGAAAGCAGUUGGUUAGGCUAUACCCUUUGUGCCGCGUGAACGGUGCUGUGAAUACACACACACACACACACACACACGAUAUAUCACACGCGCACACACGCAAUACACUUUACAAUGAAGAACGAAGGUUGGGGGAUCAAAGAGGAUCAGAUACCCUCGUCGUCCCAUUAGUUACAUCAAACUAUGGGCUCUCAAUUGCUCUCAGUUUAACUGUCGAGUAAUAUUAUGAUCUCAUACCCUGACCUGCAAACCUGUAUGGCUUGAGCCUCCCCGCUCGCUGUACUAAACUGUAUCGGUCUCAGUAUAGACAUAUCUACUCACCAUAUAAAUAAAGUCAUGUCAGCACUCGUAUUUCAAUGUAAAAGUUGAUUUCAGCAGACAUAAGAUUUUAUGAACUUUGCGCUCAGUUAAUAUACGGUGAGAUGUAAGCAUCGUAAGCAUAAUAUACGUGCGCAUCCGCUCUCGGGCGCGAUCCACUAUAUUUUUGCUUAAUAUAUGAUGUGAAGCACGUGUUAGGUACGCGCUUACUGCAGAAAU